This 364-nucleotide long non-coding RNA is filed under the name Nicotiana benthamiana. RNAcentral's name for it is "long non-coding RNA (NBEN_LNC006694)". The record is from RNAcentral. Lineage: Eukaryota; Viridiplantae; Streptophyta; Magnoliopsida; Solanales; Solanaceae.
GUCUUUCUGACAAUGAUGGAUGAUGAUGAGCAACCAAGUAUUCAAAUCCUUCUUGGAUCGAGAAAAAGUGAUAAAAUAAAGGAAGUGCAAAAGCAUGCUUUGUUUCUAUUCAAUAAAGUGAGAAUCGUGUAUAGAGAAUGUUGACGAAGUUCUUUACAAAGACUCCAACCUCCCUCUUGAUCUACAUCUCUUUCUAUUUAUAAGAGCACCUGUACCACAAAAUUCUAGAUGGUACAACAUAAAGGAAUAUCCAUUAAAAUAUUCCCUAGGAAAUCUAAAUCCUGAAAUUGGUCUUCACUUUGUGCCGAAAACAGAUGCUCGUCCUCAUCCUUGCCUUCUGUUAAGCCGUUUCGAUCUCGGCAAC